AGGUAGCCUAGUGGUUAGAGCAGGUAGUCUAGUGGUUAGAGGCAGGUAGCCUAGUGGUUAGAGCAGGUAGCCUAGUGGUUAGAGGCAGGUAGCCUAGUGGUUAGAGCAGGUAGCCUAGUGGUUAGAGGCAGGUAGCCUAGUGGUUAGAGCAGGUAGUCUAGUGGUUAGAGGCAGGUAGUCUAGUGGUUAGAGCAGGUAGUCUAGUGGUUAGAGCAGGUAGUCUACUGGUUAGAGCAGGUAGUCUUGUGGUUAGAGGCAGG
Molecule: long non-coding RNA, 260 nt
Organism: Oncorhynchus tshawytscha (Chinook salmon)
Lineage: Eukaryota; Metazoa; Chordata; Actinopteri; Salmoniformes; Salmonidae
Source: Ensembl